GUUUGCUCGUGUCUAUCUUCAGACGACUUGAGUGGAGUUUGCGCUGCUGCUUGACGAGACAAACCUUGUGUGUUGUGUGUGUGUGUGUGUGUGCGUGUGUGUGUGUGUGUGUGUGAAGGAGGGCUGAAUUUCAUGUGCAUUUCCAAUUUACAUAUUCUAUCUUAAAUAUGUAAAUGAAUUAACGGAGGGCUGAGAUGAAACAAACUGGAAAACUGGAGUAAUUGGAUAAAUUUAAUCACAAGAAUAUAAAUUUUAGAGUCAACCCAAACAGGUAGCUUAGAGCUCAUGUAUCAAAAAUCCCCUUCGUAACAUAGUCUGGUGUCUUUGAUUUAUUUUUAAAUAAUCCCUUUAAAAGAUAAGGCAUCCAUUUCAAUUCCUGGUUUUAAAAUUUAAAAUGAUGAAAGAAAAGAAAAGAUCAAUCCUAUCUGUAGAUCAAUCCCUUCUGUCGGUCCAUGACAGGAUUGGUAAAAAAUAUAUAUACAUGUUAUUUACCAAUCCUGUCGGAGGAAUUAUAUGCAUCCAAAACUCGGAGCCGUUUGGGGCAAACAGGGUUGUAAAAAGUGCUUCUAUUAUAAACAGACCCAGAAAAAUACACACAUUUAUGUUGCUGAGCAGGAAACCGUGUGGCUGCUGCAUGAUUGGCUGACAGAGUUUAGACAGUAAAACUCUCCUGAGCAUCAAACUGGGGUCUCAAUCGGUGAUUUUUUAUGAGUUUAUGACAAAACGUCCUGCCGGUGACGUUGUCCAGCAGAUCUCCAGUGAGCCUUACAGGUAUGACUUACUGCAACGAACCUCAUGUUGGUUACCUUCAGUUUGAAUCUGGCAUCAGAAUCAAACUGUGAAUCUGAUGCCAAACAUUUAGGAAUCUCUGUCGAUCUUUCCUCCCAGCAGCUGUUAGACUUUAUAACAAACUAAAUCAGUGUUUACAUCCCUGCUGGCACCAAACAGUCAUUUAUUCUGCUUCUGCUCAUUUUACAUAACAUUUCUGCUGUUGCUGCACAUCUGUUUUUCUGAUAUACUGCACUCUAAACACGCUGUUGUCUUUUUAAUGUUCAACACAUAAAUAUUAUGUACAGUAAACAAAACCUCAUUUGCACAUCAUCCCUUGGAUUGAGAGUAUUUCUAUUAAUAACUACACAAUAUUAUAUGUUAUAAUCAUGUACUGUAUAUUAUUAUUGUUGUUGUUGUGUGUGUGUAUAUAUAUUUAUUUAACACUUUUGGACCUUCAGUGGAUCCUACAUGUCUUGAUGCAGCUGUUACACCUGCAUCUUCACUCUGUGGGAUAAUAACAGUUAUUUCUACUCUAUUCUAUCCAUCUAUAGAUGUCAUAGUUGACAUCUAUAGAUGUCAUAGUUGACAUCUAUGGCUCUAACUUUAGAUGCAGUCUUCUCUCAACG
This is a long non-coding RNA of Poecilia latipinna (sailfin molly), 1397 nucleotides long. RefSeq lists it as uncharacterized. Lineage: Eukaryota; Metazoa; Chordata; Actinopteri; Cyprinodontiformes; Poeciliidae. The record is from RefSeq and is a predicted model, not a curated record. The transcript has 2 exons.